GUUGUCGUGUCCGAGUGGUUAAGGCGAUGGACUACAAAAUCCAUUGGGGUCUCCCCGCCUAGGUUCGAAUCCUGCUGACAACU
Molecule: non-coding RNA, 83 nt
Organism: Nerophis ophidion (straightnose pipefish)
Lineage: Eukaryota; Metazoa; Chordata; Actinopteri; Syngnathiformes; Syngnathidae
Source: the annotation of a RefSeq genome assembly